Molecule: ribosomal RNA, 490 nt
Filed under: uncultured bacterium
Lineage: Bacteria
Description: bacterial SSU rRNA
Rfam family: Bacterial small subunit ribosomal RNA
Source: RNAcentral
GACGAACGCUGGCGGCGUGCUUAACACAUGCAAGUCGAACGAGAAUCUAUGGAAAGAGGAUUCGUCCAAUUGAAAUAGAGGACAGUGGCGGACGGGUGAGUAACGCGUGAGGAACCUGCCUUUCAGAGGGGGACAACAGUUGGAAACGACUGCUAAUACCGCAUAACGCGUAGAGGUCGCAUGGCCUUUACGCCAAAGAUUUAUCGCUGAAAGAUGGCCUCGCGUCUGAUUAGCUAGUUGGUGAGGUAACGGCCCACCAAGGCGACGAUCAGUAGCCGGACUGAGAGGUUGAACGGCCACAUUGGGACUGAGAUACGGCCCAGACUCCUACGGGAGGCAGCAGUGGGGAAUAUUGGGCAAUGGGCGCAAGCCUGACCCAGCAACGCCGCGUGAAGGAAGAAGGCUUUCGGGUUGUAAACUUCUUUUGUCAGGGACGAGCAGAAGACGGUACCUGACGAAUAAGCCACGGCUAACUACGUGCCAGCAGCCG